This 453-nucleotide ribosomal RNA is filed under the name uncultured bacterium. Its description in RNAcentral is "bacterial SSU rRNA". It matches the Rfam family "Bacterial small subunit ribosomal RNA", at positions 340 to 786 of the family's 1533-position model. The record is from RNAcentral.
UACGGAAGGCAGCAGUGGGGAAUAUUGCACAAUGGGCGCAAGCCUGAUGCAGCCAUGCCGCGUGUAUGAAGAAGGCCUUCGGGUUGUAAAGUACUUUCAGUCGUGAGGAAGGUGUUAAGGUUAAUAACCUUAGCAAUUGACGUUAGCGACAGAAGAAGCACCGGCUAACUCCGUGCCAGCAGCCGCGGUAAUACGGAGGGUGCGAGCGUUAAUCGGAAUUACUGGGCGUAAAGGGCACGCAGGCGGUUAAUUAAGUUGGAUGUGAAAUCCCCGGGCUUAACCUGGGAAUGGCAUUCAAGACUGGUUAGCUAGAGUCUUGUAGAGGGGGUAGAAUUCCAUGUGUAGCGGUGAAAUGCGUAGAGAUGUGGAGGAAUACCGGUGGCGAAGGCGGCCCCUGGACAAAGACUGACGCUCAUGUGCGGAAGCGUGGGGAGCAAACAGGGAUUAGAUACC